This 512-nucleotide ribosomal RNA is filed under the name uncultured Actinomycetes bacterium. RNAcentral describes it as "bacterial SSU rRNA". It matches the Rfam family "Bacterial small subunit ribosomal RNA", at positions 355 to 857 of the family's 1533-position model. The record is from RNAcentral. Lineage: Bacteria; Bacillati; Actinomycetota; Actinomycetes.
UGGGGAAUCUUGCGCAAUGCGCGAAAGCGUGACGCAGCAACGCCGCGUGCGGGAAGACGGCCUUCGGGUUGUAAACCGCUUUCAGUUGGGACGAAGCCUUUGCGGUUAAUAGCCGUGGAAGGUGACGGUACCUUCAGAAGAAGCCCCGGCUAACUACGUGCCAGCAGCCGCGGUAAUACGUAGGGGGCAAGCGUUGUCCGGAAUCAUUGGGCGUAAAGCGCGUGUAGGCGGCUCGGUAAGUCCGCUCUGAAAGCCCGGGGCUCAACCCCGGGAGGCGGGUGGAUACUGCUGAGCUCGAGUCCGGAAGAGGAGUGUGGAAUUCCUGGUGUAGCGGUGAAAUGCGCAGAUAUCAGGAGGAACACCAAUGGCGAAGGCAGCACUCUGGGACGGUACUGACGCUGAGACGCGAAAGCGUGGGGAGCAAACAGGAUUAGAUACCCUGGUAGUCCACGCCGUAAACGAUGGGCACUAGGUGUGGGGGGUGUCGGACUCCCUCCGUGCCGAAGCUAACG